AGAGUUUGAUUCUGGCUCAGGAUGAACGCUAGCUACAGGCUUAACACAUGCAAGUCGAGGGGCAGCAGGACGAUAGCUUGCUAUUGUUGCUGGCGACCGGCGCACGGGUGAGUAACGCGUAUCCAACCUUCCCCUUAGUAGGGCAUAGCCCGGUGAAAAUCGGAUUAAUACCCUAUGUUGUGUCAUGAGGACAUCUGAAUAACACUAAAGAUUUAUCGCUAAGGGAUGGGGAUGCGUCCGAUUAGGUAGUCGGCGGGUAACGGCCCACCGAGCCCUCGAUCGGUAGGGUUCUGAGAGGAAGGUCCCCCACACUGGUACUGAGACACGGACCAGACUCCUACGGGAGGCAGCAGUGAGGAAUAUUGGUCAAUGGGCGAGAGCCUGAACCAGCCAAGUAGCCGUGCAGGAUGACGGCCCUAUGGGUUGUAAACUGCUUUUAUACGGGGAUAAAGUGAGGGACGCGUCCCUUAUUGUAGGUACCGUGUGAAUAAGGACCGGCUAAUUCCGUGCCAGCCGCAGC
Molecule: ribosomal RNA, 520 nt
Filed under: uncultured bacterium
Lineage: Bacteria
Description: bacterial SSU rRNA
Rfam family: Bacterial small subunit ribosomal RNA
Source: RNAcentral